RNAcentral lists this ribosomal RNA (230 nucleotides) under uncultured bacterium. RNAcentral describes it as "partial 16S ribosomal RNA". It matches the Rfam family "Bacterial small subunit ribosomal RNA", at positions 118 to 347 of the family's 1533-position model. The record is from RNAcentral.
UGGGCAACCUGCCCUCAGCUCUGGGAUAACUCCAAGAAAUUGGGGCUAAUACCGGAUAUGACCGCUGACCGCAUGGUCUGGUGGUGGAAAGAUUUAUCGGCUGGGGAUGGGCCCGCGGCCUAUCAGCUUGUUGGUGGGGUAGUGGCCUACCAAGGCGACGACGGGUAGCCGGCCUGAGAGGGUGGCCGGCCGCACUGGGACUGAGACACGGCCCAGACCUCCUACGGGGA